This 459-nucleotide ribosomal RNA is filed under the name uncultured bacterium. RNAcentral describes it as "partial 16S ribosomal RNA". It matches the Rfam family "Bacterial small subunit ribosomal RNA", at positions 338 to 795 of the family's 1533-position model. The record is from RNAcentral.
CCUACGGGUGGCAGCAGUGAGGAAUAUUGGUCAAUGGGCGGGAGACUGAACCAGCCAAGCCGCGUGAGGGAUGAAGGUACUGAGGAUCGUAAACCUCUUUUGUCAGGGCACAAAGGCGGGCACGUGUCCCCGUCUGAGUGUACCUGAAGAAAAAGCAUCGGCUAACUCCGUGCCAGCAGCCGCGGUAAUCGGGGGGAUGCGAGCGUUAUCCGGAUUAAUGGGGUUAAAAGGGUGCGCAGGCGGUAGGUAAAGUCAGCGGUAAAACCGCGGGGCUAAACCUCGGCCCGCCUUUGAAACUGGGGGUCUCGAGUGCGAGAGAGGUAUGCGGAAUGCGAGGUGUAGCGGUGAAAUGCAUAGAUAUCGCGCAGAACUCCGAUUGCGAAGGCAGCAUGCCGGCUCCCAACUGACGCUGAUGCACGAAAGCGUGGGUAUCGAACAGGAUUAGAUACCCGUGUAGUC